CCUACGGGCGGCUGCAGUAAGGAAUAUUGGACAAUGCCCGCAAGGGUGAUCCAGCCAUGCCGCGUGCAGGAAGAAGGCGCUAUGCGUCGUAAACUGCUUUUACACCAGAGAAAACCCCUGUACGUGUACGGGGCUGAUAGUAUGGUGAGAAUAAGCAUCGGCUAACUUCGUGCCAGCAGCCGCGGUAAGACGAAGGAUGCAAGCGUUAUCCGGAUUCAUUGGGUUUAAAGGGAGCGUAGGCGGCCUUAUAAGUCAGUGGUGAAAUCUCUCGGCUC
This 275-nucleotide ribosomal RNA is filed under the name uncultured bacterium. RNAcentral describes it as "partial 16S ribosomal RNA". It matches the Rfam family "Bacterial small subunit ribosomal RNA", at positions 338 to 610 of the family's 1533-position model. The record is from RNAcentral.